GAUGAACGCUGGCGGCGUGCCUAAUACAUGCAAGUCGAGCGAACAGACGAGGAGCUUGCUCCUCUGACGUUAGCGGCGGACGGGUGAGUAACACGUGGAUAACCUACCUAUAAGACUGGGAUAACUUCGGGAAACCGGAGCUAAUACCGGAUAAUAUAUUGAACCGCAUGGUUCAAUAGUGAAAGACGGUUUUGCUUUCACUUAUAGAUGGAUCCGCGCCGCAUUAGCUAGUUGGUAAGGUAACGGCUUACCAACGCGACGAUGCGUAGCCGACCUGAGAGGGUGGUCGGCCACACUGGAACUGAGACACGGUCCAGACUCCUACGGGAGGCAGCAGUAGGGAAUCUUCCGCAAUGGGCGAAAGCGUGACGGAGCAACGCCGCGUGAGUGAUGAAGGUCUUCGGAUCGGAAAACUCUGUUAUUAGGGAAGAACAAAUGUGUAAGUAACUAUGCACGUCUUGACGGUACCUAAUCAGAAAGCCACGGCUAACUACGUG
RNAcentral lists this ribosomal RNA (497 nucleotides) under uncultured bacterium. Its description in RNAcentral is "partial 16S ribosomal RNA". It matches the Rfam family "Bacterial small subunit ribosomal RNA", at positions 28 to 507 of the family's 1533-position model. The record is from RNAcentral.